AGCCUACGGGAGGCAGCAGUGGGGGAUAUUGCACAAUGGGGGAAACCCUGAUGCAGCGACGCCGCGUGAGUGAAGAAGUAUUUCGGUAUGUAAAGCUCUAUCAGCAGGGAAGAAAAAAGACGGUACCUGACUAAGAAGCCCCGGCUAACUACGUGCCAGCAGCCGCGGUAAUACGUAGGGGGCAAGCGUUAUCCGGAUUUACUGGGUGUAAAGGGAGCGUAGACGGCAAUACAAGUCCGGAGUGAAAGCCCAUGGCUUAACCAUGGUACUGCUCUGGAAACUGUAGAGCUUGAGUGCGGGAGGGG
Molecule: ribosomal RNA, 305 nt
Filed under: uncultured bacterium
Lineage: Bacteria
Description: bacterial SSU rRNA
Rfam family: Bacterial small subunit ribosomal RNA
Source: RNAcentral